This is a long non-coding RNA of Acipenser ruthenus (sterlet), 2452 nucleotides long. RefSeq lists it as uncharacterized. NCBI's taxonomy places the organism in Eukaryota, Metazoa, Chordata, Actinopteri, Acipenseriformes, Acipenseridae. The record is from RefSeq and is a predicted model, not a curated record. The transcript has 2 exons.
UUGAGCACAGGAAGACAAACUGCUUUCUCUACCUGAAGGGUGACUGAAGUGACCCUCCACUUGAACCCGUGUUGAAAGAGACGCCUCUGCACUGACUCCAGUCAAAGAUGUUGAAAAUCCUCUUCUUGGUGUCCUUGGCGCUGCUGGCUGCUUCCCACAUCCAGUCUGUAAAGAGUUCCUCUUCGGGUGGUUCUGAUGCUGGUGUCCAGAAGCCCUGUGCCCGCCUCUUCCACCUGGAGACUGGGGAGCAGCUGGAGCUGCCGUCCCUCCCAGAGAAGAAGAAGAAGCUGCUGGGGGGAGCUGCUGCUGGGAGUGAAGGAGCCUUCAGCUUCAGCUCCUUCACUGUGAUGGACGGGUGUCUGCUCUCUCUGUGGGUUGCAGGUUCCCAAGAAUGGGGCCUGGAGUCUCGCUCCUUCCCGAGUGGGGCUUACCUCAACCAGCUGCCUGGUGCUGGGGUCUCCCUGAACAGCUACCAGUGCACCUGCGACCAGGAGAAAAACCAAGUCACAGCCGAUUUUAUAGAUUUCAAAAAGAGGCACAUUGCUAGUCUAAAGGAAAAUGGUGGAGGUAAAUUCUGCACUGACAAAAUACGUGAAAGACAUAUAAAUACAAAAGGACCAUGCAAAGAAUGUAACACUUUUAUAUUUGCUCCUGAAAAUAGCAUAAUCCAAGUGUGUAGAAAUGAAGGUGUCAAGAUUUCAAACACAACUUUGUAUAAGACAACUUUCUAUAAGAGCAAGAAACAAUUCAGAAUUGUGGAUUGUAUAAGUAAGAAAAAAAACCAUAGCUCCCCAAACUGUAUCUACAAACCCAGCAAAACAAACCACUUGAUGUAUAUCGUUGUAGCCUGUGAUAACAAUCAGCUGCCUGUACAUUUUGAGAGAUCAGACUCCAGUCCUCCUCCAUUUGGAAUCACUGGAAGAGUUUAAACUCUACUGUGAAGAACCAGCUCUCUCCGUGCUGCUUAUUGCUUUAGGAAACCAAGACAAGUAGCCUGCUGUUAAUUUCCUCAGGAAAGGGCAACUUUUAGAAAGAGAAACACAAGAUUAAAGUGGAACUCUAGUUGUUUUUACUUGUGUGUGUUUGUGUGUGUGUGUGUUACAUGUUCCCAUAUGUUGCUGCAACUGUUUUGACACCCUGACCACUUUUUUUCACAAUUAAAUUGCAUCUACAGUGCUCUCUUUCUAAGAUGGCUUCACCUGUACCUUUGAGAAGAACUUUAGAACUACAUUUCACAUCAUCCUCCUGCUCACAUAUGUAUGAUUGGAGGGGGUGGGGAGAGAUGGGAAAUGUAGUUCUGAUAGAAUGUGCAGUCAUCUUGGAAACAGCACAAUGCAAUUUAAUAGUGUCAAAAAAAGUUGUCAGGAUGUGAAAAAAUAAAAACGAUACACACUUUACUUAAAGAGUUAUAGCAACACAGCAGAACAUGCAAAACAAGUUGAUUUCCCCUUUAAAGCACUCCACAAUAGAAGUUGCUAUUGAAGCUCAUACAGGUAUACAGUUAUUUGUAGGGGGAGACCCCGGGCACGUGGGAUUUACCCCCUGGACUUUUUCUUUCUUUUUCGUCCCAGCUUUGUGUUACGUCCGUGACUGAUGUUGUAUGUGGACCUUGUUUUUUAUGUUUUUAUUUUUUUUCUCCGAGCCAGUGACUGACAGGAGGGGGUUGCCUUAGUGUGCUGUGGAUUUUUGAUUUUUUUCUGUUCUGUUUUUUGCAUUCCCUAGUGUGGUCCUUUUUUUGAUUUUAGUCUAGCGAUCUCUUUUUAUACCGUGUUUUUAGUACCCUGAACGGGAGAGUAUAAUUAUCAUUCGGUUACUAAGGCCCUUGUCUUAUUAAAAACAAAGUGGCGUAGUCGUCAGCUGCAUAGGUAUUAUCGUCAAGGUUAUCUCAGGUCACCCACCUGUGACAUCAACAGUGCUCCGUUUCCAAGAUGCUUUCAAACGUACCCUUCAGAAGAACUUCAGAACUACAUUUCCCCAUAAACCUACUGCUCACGUAUGUAUGAUGGGGGUGAUGGGAAAUGUAGUUCUGAAGUUCCUCUGAAAGGACGCCAUCUUGGAAACGAGAGCACUGUAGACUGCAAUUUAAUAGUGUAAAAAAGUGGUCAGAAUGUCAAUAAUAAAAACCACACACACACCUUAAUUACAAUUAUAGCAACACAUGUAACACAACAUGUAACACAAAAAAUCAACUUGACUUCCCCUUUACCUUCAUACCAGUUUUGUAAACUUCCAACAAAGGACAAAAACAUACAGUGACAAAGUGAAGAGAAAUAGUCUCCAUCUUGUCUUGACCAGAGACGUGAUUAUUUGAAUGAAUGUGUGAUGAAUUGACCCUCUUUGAUCAUUCCUUUCCUGAUGUUGAGAUAUUGAGAAUGGAAAUGCAAGACGUUGUUUCUCUUGUAAUCCCUGCUGUUUUAACGCAAUAAAAGCUUCUGCUGCAUCAAACACUUGA